GCGCCCGUCGCCAAGCGGCUAAGGCAAUCGCCUGCAGAGCGAUCAUUACGAGGGUUCGAGUCCCUCCGGGCGCU
Molecule: transfer RNA, 74 nt
Filed under: archaeon
Lineage: Archaea
Description: tRNA-Cys
Rfam family: tRNA
About the family: Transfer RNA (tRNA) molecules are approximately 80 nucleotides in length.
Source: RNAcentral